Molecule: ribosomal RNA, 488 nt
Filed under: Asperosculptura lita
Lineage: Eukaryota; Metazoa; Mollusca; Gastropoda; Neogastropoda; Horaiclavidae
Description: partial 16S ribosomal RNA
Rfam family: Bacterial large subunit ribosomal RNA
Source: RNAcentral
AUAAGGAGUCAGACCUGCCCAGUGAUUUUUUUCAACGGCCGCGGUACUCUGACCGUGCAAAGGUAGCAUAAUCAUUUGUCUUUUAAUUGAAGACUAGUAUGAAUGGUUCCAUAAGAAUAUAACUGUCUCCAUAUAAUUCAACAAAAUUUUAUCAUAAGGUGAAGAAGCCUUAAUCCAAUUAAAAGACAAGAAGACCCUAUCGAGCUUUAGAAAAAUUAAUAGAAUACAUAAAUAAAGAUUAAAAAACUAACUAUUAAAAACUUUAGUUGGGGCGACUGAGGAACAAACAAAGCUUCCUUUAAUAAUAAAAACACUCAAGUAUUGAUCCAAACAUUUUGAUUAAAGAAAUUAGUUACCGUAGGGAUAACAGCAUUAUCUUUUUUAAGAGUUCUUAUCGAAAAAAAGGUUUGUGACCUCGAUGUUGGACCAGAAUAUCCUAAAGGUGCAGAAGCCUUUAAGGGUUGGUCUGUUCGACCAUUAAAAUUCUA